This 73-nucleotide transfer RNA is filed under the name Candidatus Parabeggiatoa sp. HSG14. Its description in RNAcentral is "tRNA-Ala". It matches the Rfam family "tRNA". From Rfam's summary of the family: Transfer RNA (tRNA) molecules are approximately 80 nucleotides in length. Their secondary structure includes four short double-helical elements and three loops (D, anti-codon, and T loops). The record is from RNAcentral. RNAcentral also lists the same sequence under 1 other name. Lineage: Bacteria; Pseudomonadati; Pseudomonadota; Gammaproteobacteria; Thiotrichales; Thiotrichaceae.
GGGGCUAUAGCUCAAUUGGGAGAGUGUCUGCUUUGCACGCAGAAGGUCGUCGGUUCGAUUCCGUCUAGCUCCA